AGAAAUAUGUCUGACAAAAGAGUUACUUUGAUAGAGUAAAAAAUAGGAGUGAAAGCCCCCUUGUUUCUA
Molecule: transfer RNA, 69 nt
Filed under: Plerotes anchietae (Anchieta's broad-faced fruit bat)
Lineage: Eukaryota; Metazoa; Chordata; Mammalia; Chiroptera; Pteropodidae
Description: tRNA-Ile
Source: RNAcentral